GCCCGGGUGGUGGAAUUGGUAGACACGCUAUCUUGAGGGGGUAGUGGCGUAAGCCGUGCCGGUUCAAGUCCGGCCUCGGGCACCA
This 85-nucleotide transfer RNA is filed under the name Methylococcaceae bacterium. RNAcentral's name for it is "tRNA-Leu". It matches the Rfam family "tRNA". From Rfam's summary of the family: Transfer RNA (tRNA) molecules are approximately 80 nucleotides in length. Their secondary structure includes four short double-helical elements and three loops (D, anti-codon, and T loops). The record is from RNAcentral. Lineage: Bacteria; Pseudomonadati; Pseudomonadota; Gammaproteobacteria; Methylococcales; Methylococcaceae. RNAcentral also lists the same sequence under 1 other name.